UACGUAGGUGGCAAGUGUUGUCCGGAAUUAUUGGGCGUAAAGCGCGCGCAGGCGGUCCUUUAAGUCUGAUGUGAAAGCCCACGGCUCAACCGUGGAGGGUCAUUGGAAACUGGGGGACUUGAGUGCAGGAGAGAAGAGUGGAAUUCCACGUGUAGCGGUGAAAUGCGUAGAGAUGUGGAGGAACACCAGUGGCGAAGGCGACUCUUUGGCCUGUAACUGACGCUGAGGCGCGAAAGCGUGGCGAGCAAACAGGAUUAGA
This 259-nucleotide ribosomal RNA is filed under the name uncultured prokaryote. RNAcentral describes it as "partial 16S ribosomal RNA". It matches the Rfam family "Bacterial small subunit ribosomal RNA", at positions 524 to 782 of the family's 1533-position model. The record is from RNAcentral.